GGAGGAGUGGCAGAGUGGUCUAUCGCACCUGUCUUGAAAACAGGAGUGCCGCAAGGUACCGUGAGUUCGAAUCUCACCUCCUCCG
Molecule: non-coding RNA, 85 nt
Organism: Candidatus Adlerbacteria bacterium
Lineage: Bacteria; Candidatus Adleribacteriota
Source: Rfam